RNAcentral lists this ribosomal RNA (388 nucleotides) under uncultured bacterium. RNAcentral's name for it is "bacterial SSU rRNA". It matches the Rfam family "Bacterial small subunit ribosomal RNA", at positions 28 to 417 of the family's 1533-position model. The record is from RNAcentral.
GACGAACGCUGGCGGCGUGCUUAACACAUGCAAGUCGAGCGGUAAGGCCCUUUCGGGGGUACACGAGCGGCGAACGGGUGAGUAACACGUGGGUGACCUGCCCUCAGCUCUGGGAUAAGCCUGGGAAACCGGGUCUAAUACUGGAUAUGACUCCAUGACGCAUGUUGUGGGGUGGAAAGCCUUGUGCGGCUGAGGAUGGGCCCGCGGCCUAUCAGCUUGUUGGUGGGGUGANGGCCUACCAAGGCGACGACGGGUAGCCGGCCUGAGAGGGCGACCGGCCACACUGGGACUGAGACAUGGCCCAGACUCCUACGGGAGGCAGCAGUGGGGAAUCUUGCGCAAUGGGCGAAAGCCUGACGCAGCGACGCCGCGUGAGGGAUGACGGCCU